Molecule: ribosomal RNA, 282 nt
Filed under: uncultured prokaryote
Description: partial 16S ribosomal RNA
Rfam family: Bacterial small subunit ribosomal RNA
Source: RNAcentral
CACGGGGGUUGCGAGCGUUGUUCGGAAUUACUAGGCGUAAAGGGCAGGCAGGCGGAUCCAUAAGUUUAUCGUUUAAGGCGUCGGCUUAACCGGCGUAGGGCGGUAGAUACUGUGGAUCUGGAAUGCGGUUGGGGAAGACAGAAUUCCUGGUGUAGCGGUGGAAUGCGCAGAGAUCAGGAGGAAUACCGAAGGCGAAGGCAGUCUUCCAAGCCGUUAUUGACGCUCAACUGCGAAGGUGUGGGUAUCAAACAGGAUUAGAUACCCCGGUAGUCCCUGAGCGGG